GGUUGACCUCGGAUCAGGUAGGGAUA
RNAcentral lists this non-coding RNA (26 nucleotides) under Aspergillus clavatus. Lineage: Eukaryota; Fungi; Ascomycota; Eurotiomycetes; Eurotiales; Aspergillaceae. RNAcentral also lists the same sequence under 80 other names. The record is from RNAcentral.